UGGUCAAGUUAUUAAGGGUGCAGGGCGGAUGCCUUGGCACUAGGAGCCGAUGAAGGACGUGAUAAGCUGCGAUAAGCUUCGGGGAGUUGCACGUAAACUUUGAUCCGAAGAUUUCCGAAUGAGGAAACUCACUUAGAGUAAUGUCUAAGUAUCAUUAAGUGAAUACAUAGCUUAAUGAGGGGAACUCAGGGAACUGAAACAUCUAAGUACCUGAAGGAAGAGAAAGAAAUUCGAUUCCGUAAGUAGCGGCGAGCGAACGCGGAUUAGCCCAAACCAAUAAAGUUUUCUUUAUUGGGGUUGCGGACAUAUCAUAACGAAGAGGUAUCGUAAUUGAAGAGGUUUGGAAAGACCCACCACAGAAGGUAAUAGUCCUGUAUGUUAAACGAGAAGACUUCAGAUAUGAUCCAGAGUACCACGGGACACGUGAAACCCUGUGGGAAGCAGGAGGGACCACCCUCCAAGGCUAAAUACUACCUAGUGACCGAUAGCGUAUAGUACCGUGAGGGAAAGGUGAAAAGAACCCCGGGAGGGGAGUGAAAUAGAACCUGAAACCCUGCACUUACAAGCUGUGGAAGCACAUUUCUUGUGUGACCGCGUACUUUUUGUAGAACGGGCCAACGAGUUACGUUAAGUAGCAAGGUUAAGCACUUAAGGUGCGGAGCCGUAGCGAAAGCGAGUUUUAACUGAGCGUUCAGUUACUUGACGUAGACCCGAAACCGGGCGACCUACCCAUGAGCAGGAUGAAGCGAAAGUAAAAUUUCGUGGAGGUCCGAACCCACGAGCGUUGAAAAGCUCGGGGAUGACUUGUGGGUAGCGGUGAAAUUCCAAUCGAGCCCGGAGAUAGCUGGUUCUCCCCGAAAUAGCUUUAGGGCUAGCCUCAAGGUGAGAGAUACGGAGGUAGAGCACUGAAUGUCCUAGGGGGUAUUGCACCUACCGAAGACUAUCAAACUCCGAAUGCCGUCAUCUUAUACUUGGGAGUCAGACUGUGGGUGAUAAGAUUCAUAGUCGAAAGGGCAACAGCCCAGAUCGUCAGCUAAGGUCCCUAAAUGUAAGUUAAGUGGUAAAGGAUGUGGGAUUGCACAGACAACCAGGAUGUUGGCUUAGAAGCAGCCACUCAUUCAAAGAGUGCGUAAUAGCUCACUGGUCGAGUGAUCCUGCGCCGAAGAUUUCCGGGGCUAAAACUUACUACCGAAGCUACGGCAUCAGUAAUGAUGGGUAGGGGAGCUUCCCAUACGGGUUGAAGCAUGACCGUAAGGACAUGUGGACAGUAUGGGAGUGAGAAUGUUGGCAUGAGUAGCGAGAUGUGGGUGAGAAUCCCACAGGCCGUAAACCCAAGGUUUCCAGGGGAAGGUUCGUCCGCCCUGGGUUAGUCGGGACCUAAGCUGAGGCCGAAAGGCGUAGGUGAUGGACAACAGGUUGAUAUUCCUGUACUACCGAUAACCGUUUGAGAGAAGGGAUGACACAGUAGGAUAAGCUAAGCACACUGUUGGUUAUGUGUGCCCAAGCAUUGAGGCAGUCAAAGUAGGCAAAUCCGCUUUGAUAAUGCUGGGAUGUGAUGGGGAGCGAAAUUUAGUAGCGAAGUAGCUGAUUUCACACUGUCAAGAAAAGUCUCUAUCGAGGUUAAAGGUACCCGUACCGCAAACCGACACAGGUGGGUGAGGAGAGUAUCCUAAGGCCAGCGAGAGAACUGUUGUUAAGGAACUCGGCAAAAUGACCCCGUAACUUAGGGAUAAGGGGUGCCACCAUCAGGUGGCCGCAGAGAAUAGGCCCAAGCGACUGUUUACCAAAAACAUAGGUUUCUGCUAAGUCGCAAGACGAUGUAUAGGAGCUGACGCCUGCCCGGUGCUGGAAGGUUAAGGGGAUCUGUUAGAGCAAUCGAAGCAGUGAACUUAAGCCCCAGUAAACGGCGGCCGUAACUAUAACGGUCCUAAGGUAGCGAAAUUCCUUGUCGGGUAAGUUCCGACCCGCACGAAAGGCGUAACGAUUUGGGCACUGUCUCAACAACAGACUCGGUGAAAUUGUAAUUCCGGUGAAGAUGCCGGAUACCUGCGACAGGACGGAAAGACCCCAUGGAGCUU
RNAcentral lists this ribosomal RNA (2078 nucleotides) under Clostridioides difficile. RNAcentral describes it as "partial 23S ribosomal RNA". It matches the Rfam family "Bacterial large subunit ribosomal RNA", at positions 1 to 2101 of the family's 2925-position model. Lineage: Bacteria; Bacillati; Bacillota; Clostridia; Peptostreptococcales; Peptostreptococcaceae. The record is from RNAcentral.